UAUCGUUUGCCACGUCCAGUCACGAAAAAGACCUUACAACACCUGCAAGCACGUGCAGCCUCAAGUUCUGCAGAGUAAAACCAGCCUGCAACUAGCUGGAAUUUCUCCCUGCCGUCCUUUCAAAUUCUUUCAAACAACUUGCAAUAGCAGUAAUAAUCAUCUGACACAGUGUGACCAAGAUCCCUUUUGAUACUUUGCGGAACAGAAGAAAACACCUAAAGAAACCAGACGGAGAAGAAAUGGUUUGAUGACUAUACAAGGCACGACAACCUCUGUUGAUCUCGCUUUCCAGCAAGUGGACGUCUACACCCCAUCAUCCUUGAGAAUGAUGCCGGCAAUUGUAAAAAGAAAAAUUCACACGUCUUUCCAUGAG
Molecule: long non-coding RNA, 373 nt
Organism: Sinocyclocheilus grahami
Lineage: Eukaryota; Metazoa; Chordata; Actinopteri; Cypriniformes; Cyprinidae
Exons: 3
Source: RefSeq, a predicted model, not a curated record